UACGUAGGAUCCAAGCGUUGUCCGGAUUUACUGGGUGUAAAGGGUGCGCAGGCGGUCUGGUUAGUCAGGGGUGAAAUCCCGUUGCUCAACAACGGAACUGCCUUUGAUACUGCCAGUCUUGAAUUAGGGAGAGGUUCGUGGAAUUCCGAGUGUAGCAGUGAAAUGUGUAGAUAUUCGGAAGAACACCAGUGGCGAAGGCAGCGAACUGGCCCUAUAUUGACGCUCAGGCACGAAAGCAUGGGGAUCAAACAGG
RNAcentral lists this ribosomal RNA (253 nucleotides) under uncultured bacterium. RNAcentral describes it as "partial 16S ribosomal RNA". It matches the Rfam family "Bacterial small subunit ribosomal RNA", at positions 524 to 776 of the family's 1533-position model. The record is from RNAcentral.